Molecule: small RNA, 101 nt
Filed under: Flavobacterium glaciei
Lineage: Bacteria; Pseudomonadati; Bacteroidota; Flavobacteriia; Flavobacteriales; Flavobacteriaceae
Description: Flavo-1 RNA
Rfam family: Flavo-1 RNA
Source: RNAcentral
GAUUAGCGUAAGGGAUUGAAGUGGCAUCCUUUUAUAAAUUCUAAUCCCGAAGCCUCGGGAUUGGGAAUUUAUAAAAGAUACAACGUACAGCCCGACCCGCA